This 1404-nucleotide long non-coding RNA is filed under the name Olea europaea subsp. europaea. The record is from RNAcentral. Lineage: Eukaryota; Viridiplantae; Streptophyta; Magnoliopsida; Lamiales; Oleaceae.
AAAUAAGGUAAUUAAAAUUAUAAAAUUAAAUUAAUGUACAUAUCCACUUGAACCCCACCCAUCCCACUACAAAAUCCUCAAAUCAUUUUUCUUGUCUUCUCUAUUUCUUCCCUUCUCUAUUACACCUUUUCUCUACACUCUCUUUCGAUGAAUCCUCUCCUUCUCUUUCAGUUGCUCAUUCCUAGCACCACUGCUCCUUCUUUUCCAGCAGCUUUGCACAGCACAAACGUUGCGUGCUGGGCAUCGCUGUAAGAUGCGUAGCUGUGUGCGGUGGUUUCUGAUCUGAUCUACUGGGGAUGAUGUGGGUUGUUUACGCUGUGGUUAUUUGUGGUUUUUUGGUGGUCGAUUCUCACUCUCUUUCUUCUUUUUAUCUUUUCUCUCUCAUUCUCUGUACCUAUAGACUCUCUACUAUAUCUUUUCGGCACCAUUGCGUACGGCAGAGAAGAACCGAAGUUCACAGUGGCGAAUCCUUAUGUGCAGAGGAUCAACACGGGGAGGUUGUUGCUGCGAGCAGUAGUGCUUUGCUUCUACUCUGAUGCUCGCGAUCGGGGAUGCACUAUUUGAUUUACUUUUUGAAAAUGGUAAGGGUUUUGCAAUAUGAGAAUACUUAUCACUAGGGAUGUCAAAUGAGCCGAGCAGCUUAUCGGCUUGGUCGCUUAGCUCGUUAAAACUCGGCUGGGGGUAGUUCGGGCUCGUCAUUUGACGAACUCGAGCCCGAGCCGAGCAGGGGCUCAAUCCCACGAGCCGAGCUCGUAAAAAAAUGUGCAAAUUUAAAAAAAAAUUGCCAUUGCCAUCCCUACUUUCCGCCUCCAUGGUUUGGAAGGGUGGAUAUUGGUUUUUCUUUUUUCUUCUUUGACGAUGGUUAGAGAUGAUUGUUGAUGUUUUAUUUGAUCUAUUGUAGUUGGUGGUGGUGUAAACUGUGAUGGUUAUAUUGCUGGUGGUGCAUGUGGUCAUGGUAAGGUGUUGCGCAUUUGGUUUUUAACAGUGUUGGGAGUGGUGGUGGAGCCGGCAAUUGAUUGUGACUCUUUGUGACCAAAUUCGUGUAUAACUGUGAGUGAAUGUGAUUUGAUUAUAUGCAGUCACAAAUUAGACAGACGUGGUCAUGGACAGUCACAUCGAAGACAAAGUUGAUCACCGUUAGUCACUGAUAACAUAGGCUAGUGAAAGUAGUACUUAUGGUUGUGAAUUUGAGUUAAAUGUGGUGGUGAUUGGCGGUGGAUUGUGAUACUGGUAUGUGGUGUUUGUAGAUUUGUUUGUGGUGAUCCCUAUGUAACCAAGUAUGUGUUUAUUAAGACCGGUUGUAGACACUUUUGUUAAUUGUAAUUUGAUCACAUAUCAUCACAAUUAAAAUUGACAUGGUCACAGACUGUCACAUUGAAGACAAAUUUGGUCACAAAUAAUCAC